UACGUAGGGGGCAAGCGUUGUCCGGAUUUAUUGGGCGUAAAGAGCGUGUAGGCGGCCAUGCAGGUCCGUUGUGAAAACUCGAGGCUCAACCUCGAGACGUCGAUGGAAACCGCAUGGCUAGAGUCCGGAAGAGGAGAGUGGAAUUCCCGGUGUAGCGGUGAAAUGCGCAGAUAUCGGGAAGAACACCCGUGGCGAAAGCGGCUCUCUGGGACGGUACUGACGCUGAGACGCGAAAGCGUGGGGAGCAAACAGG
RNAcentral lists this ribosomal RNA (253 nucleotides) under uncultured bacterium. RNAcentral describes it as "partial 16S ribosomal RNA". It matches the Rfam family "Bacterial small subunit ribosomal RNA", at positions 524 to 776 of the family's 1533-position model. The record is from RNAcentral.